Molecule: long non-coding RNA, 2989 nt
Organism: Lotus japonicus
Lineage: Eukaryota; Viridiplantae; Streptophyta; Magnoliopsida; Fabales; Fabaceae
Exons: 2
Source: RefSeq, a predicted model, not a curated record
UUUAACAUCGCUAUCUCUUUCAAUAAAAUAAAAUCUAUGAUAAGAAACUUGGGCUUAGACUACAAAAAGAUUGAUGCAUGCCCCAACAAUUGCAUGUUGUUUUGGAAAGAGCAUGUAAAUGAUGACUUAUGUCAUAAUUGUGGAGCCUCAAGGUGGGUUGAUUUUCCUGAAGUGGAUCAUGGCCUUAAAGAAUCUAAAAAGGCUCACAAAGUUCCUAUCAAAGUGCUAAGACAUUUUCCUUUAAUUCCGCGACUGAAAAGGCUUUUUAUGUGUUCAAAGACAGCUAAUUCUUUGAGGUGGCAUGCAGAAGAGCGUUCAAGGGAUGGCUAGUUAAGGCAUCCUGCUGAUGGCCAAACAUGGAAAGACUUUGACUCAAAGCAUCAAGAAUUUGCUCCUGAUACUCGUAAUAUGAGGCUUGGGUUGGCCAGUGAUGGGUUCAAUCCGUUUAGAAAUAUGAGCUUAUCAUAUAGCACAUGGCAUGUGGUUUUAACAACAUAUAAUUAUCCUCCAGAUUUGUGUUUGAAGGCAGAAAAUUGGAUGAUGUCAUUACUUAUUCUUGGACCACGAUCUCCUGGAAAUGCAAUUGAUGUUUAUCUACAGCCACUCAUUGAGGAGCUUAAGUUGUUGUGGGAUGUUGGGGUAGAUACAUAUGAUAUUUCUAGAAAUCAAACAUUUAAAUUGCAUGCAUCUCUUUUGUGGACUGUUAAUGACUACCCUGCAUAUGCUAUGUUAUCUGGUUGGAGGACUAAAGGGAAGUUGGCCUGCCCUGCAUGUAAUUAUGUAACUUCUUCUACUUACUUAAAACAUAGCAUGAAGAUGUGCUAUAUGGGGCAUAGAGUCUUUGUAGAUUCAAAUCAUGAGUGGAGAUAAAAAACAGCCGCAUUAAAUGGAAAGACAGAAUAUAGGACUGCACCUUCCUUGUUAGAUGCAAGAACUAUUUUAGAACACUUACAAGGCAUCCCCGACGUAUUAGGGAAGAAUAAGAAGAGAAAGAGAGAUGGUCCAUGGAAGAAAAAAUCUAUCUUUUGGAAACUACCAUAUUGGAAUGAUAUUGCUUUAUGACAUAACUUGGAUGUAAUGCAUAUAGAGAAGAACAUAUGUGAUAAUAUACUUGGGACUCUCUUAGAGAUCGAAGGGAAGAGAAAAGAUCAUGCAAAUGCUCGUUUGGAUCUACAAGACAUGGGGAUUAGAAAAAGGCUUCAUUUAAAGGCAACAAGUGAUGGUAAGAAAACUAAGCUCCCAAAAGCAUGUUUCACCUUGACCAAACAAGAGAAAUCUAUUUUCUGUGGUGUUUUCAAGGAAGUAAAAAUUCCUGAUGGCCUUGCUUCCAAUAUUUCUAGAUGUGUGCAAGUUGAUGAAGGGAAAAUUUAUGGAUACAAGAGUCAUGAAGCUCAUAUUAUACACCAUCACUUAUUACAAGUAGCAAUCAAAGGGAUAUCCCCUAGUCAAGUUGCUGUCCUUUUGAUUCGACUUUCUUCCUUUUUUCGGUGUUUAUAUCAAAAGGUUAUUGAGGUCAAAACUUUAGAUCAUCUGGAAGUAGGGAUUGCAGAAAUACUUUGCCAAUUUUAGCAAAUCUUCCCUCCAAGUUUUUUUGACAUUAUGGUUCACUUACCAAUUCACCUUGCAAAUGAUAUUACAUUAGGGGUACCGGUUCAAUUUCGAUGGAUGUAUUACAUGGAAAGAUAUUUGGGUGCUUUAAAAUCUAUUGUUCGUAAUAAGUGCUAUCCGGAAGGUUCUAUUGCUUAAGCAUACUUGGUUAAAGAAUCUCUAACAUUUUGCUCAAGAUAUUUGUCUUGUGGUGUUGACACGGGACUGCAUAGAAUGACAUGGAAUAGUGAUGAAGUCCCUUAAAUUGGUCAUCAUAUUGGGGCUAGGAAAUUAUUUUCUCUUGAUCAGAAGUCAUACAACCAAGCCCAUGACUGCAUCUUAUUCAAUUGUGAUGACGUGCAGGAGUAUAUUAGGGAGCAUGAAGUUAAUGUUCACAAUCACCAAAAAAAGAAGAAAGUGAAGAAAAGCUAAAAGUCAGAGAGAAGAUUUCAUUCAAUGGUUUGAGACACGUGUCAUGAAUGAGGAAAUAUCAGAUUGGAUAAAGGAGUUGUCUAGGGGAACAAAUAGUAUUGCUAAGAGGUAUUUUGGUUGUGUUAUUAAUGGAUACAAAUUUCGUACAAGACAACGUGAUGCGAGGCGAAAAACUCAAAAUUGUGGUGUGACAUUAGGGGCAAUAUCUCCAAGCUUUAAAUCAGCCAAAGAUGAAAAUCCUGAACAAGUUUGUGUGACCUACUAUGGGGCAGUAUCAGAUAUCAUAGAGUUAGAUUAUUAUGGUCAUUUGCAAUAUGUGUUAUUCAAAUGUGAUUGGCUUGAGGAUGAAAAAGACAAAUAUGGGAUGACAUGUGUUUAUUUUAACAAAAAGUGUUACAAGAAUGAUCUAUAUGUGUUAGCAAAUCAAGUGAAACAAUGCUUCUUUAUUGAAGAUCCUUUUAACAAAAAUAAGCACUAUGUUUUGAAGGCAACUAACUCCAAGGGACACAUUCGACAUGGGAGAAAGUUUACACCCAAAUGACCAAGAAUUUUAUUCUGGUGAAACAUUUGAAAGUUCAAUAAGUCCUGCUACACCAGAAGUUGAUUGUGAAAUUGAUUUGGCUCGGGAAGAUGUGCAGGCUGAUAUCAUUGAAAUGUCUUUGGGUGAACUUAAUUUUCGGCAAAGUGAAAGUGAUAGUGAGGCCAGUUUUAAAAGUGAAAAUGAAUGCUGUGAUUACUCGAGUUUUGAAGAUGAUACAUAAGACUUUAUGAAGUAGCUCUAGUUUAUGAUUUUAACAAGAAAAUAAUUACUCAUGUAAGAAAAUAAUUACUCAUGGAGUUUCUUUGAUGUUCCUCUUUCUUAUGAUUAGAACAUUCAGUUCUGGAAAAAAAUGUGUCAUAAGAAAGCUUUUCUUGAUCUACAUUUUGUACUUUAUCUAUAUCAAUGGUUGAUUCCUCAAGAGUUCGUUUC